Molecule: long non-coding RNA, 2882 nt
Organism: Amphiprion ocellaris (clown anemonefish)
Lineage: Eukaryota; Metazoa; Chordata; Actinopteri; Pomacentridae
Exons: 4
Source: RefSeq, a predicted model, not a curated record
CAACGUCAAGAGUCACGUGACCAAACCACGCCUCGACACAGUGGCUCGAUACGUUUGCUUCAUGAGCUACAGCGCAUGUGUCGAAACCUCGGGUAGCAGAGGACCAUCACUGUCUGUGGCUGCUGUUGACCUUGUUUUUGGAGUAAAACACGGUGGAAGCUGAAUUAGUGAGGAUGACUCCUGCUCCUGUCAUCUCUAAGCUCCUCACACAUCUUUACCUGCACAUGAGGAAAAUCACUCCUGUAGAAUGCAGAUGUUCAGAGGGAGAUGAUGCCACAUCUGGUCCAGCUGAUGGAAGGUCUUGAAGUUCUCUGACUGGCCUCGACUGAAGAUGGUCGUCUCACUGGAUUUAAGGUUCAGAUGCUCAGUAACAAACUCCACCAAUGUGCCAACAGGGAAGCUUUAGGUUUAUUAAAUGUUGCUAUGAAGGUAUCGCUGUUUUUCUUUGUGAAUGCAAUGUGCUCCAACUGAAACUGGAAUUAGAACUUAGAAGUAAAUCCUUCCAUCUGAAAGGAUUUAGUUGCAUUAAUAACCUCAUAACAUUCUAAUUUUUAUUCCAGUCUUGGUUGGAAAUAGAAUCUCUGUAUUGAUUCAGGUAAAAACUGAACUUCACAGCAUGGAGCAAAACAACCAGAUGAAAACUGUGAUGGUGUUGGAUUGUCAGACCGUAAUGUUGCAGCUCAAAGCAGCUUUUCUAGCUCAGUUCAUUCUGACAUUCAGCUAUGAAUCAACACAGCAGAUGGUGAUCCAUGCUGUGGAAGUCUCACAUCUCCUGAUUUAAUGGAGCUGCUUUGCACUUUUUACACUGUUUAUUCACCAACACUUUAUUUAAUAAAAGUUCAUCUAGUUUUUAUGAGGAAUGUGGUGUUUUAAUUUCUCUGUGAAUAACUGCAGUCUAAUGCAACAGCUGGAGUUGUAACAUCUGUCCUGAUAUUGAUCAUGAAGUAUUGAUCAGAAUACUUAUGGUCAGCAGUCAUCUCUGAAGUUUUACAUUAAAAUCUUUACCUGUGUUGUGAUCUUUGGUAAGAAGCAGGAACUUUAGCGUUGCCAUGGAUACAUGAGUCUUAAAUUCAGUCCAUGUUUCCAUUUUGGGAAAUGCAGUCCAGCAGAUGAGUUUGUUUUUACUGCCAGCUACCAUUCAGUCUGAGAUAUUAAGAAUAAAUAAAUGUGCAUAAUGUGGAAAUGAACAGAUUUUAUUUUUAUUUAUUCCUACAAGUGCUGCAGGUAAAGUUCCAGAAUGUGGAGGAAUUUAGUCUCACAAUCACAGACAAUAAAUAUUAUCUGAAAGUUGGGUUAUUGUUUAUCAGCACAAUACAAAAAUAUUAAUGUUAGAAAUAUUCCAGUUAAGACUCUAGAAUAUCAUGAUUUAUGUAAAUUUACCUCAAUAAUAUGAAUGUUCAGGUUAAGAUUGUACAGUGAUAUUUAUUAUGUAAGUUUAGCUGAUUAAAGUUUAUGACUCUGCACUACAAUAUUAUUUAUUAUUUAAAUUUGCAUCAUUAUUAUAAUAUUUAGGGUCAGACCCUACAGUGUUGAGAUUAAGAAAUCAAAUAUUCUAUAAAAUGUAAAUACACUGAACUCAUUUGGAUAUAUUGAAGUGACUACAAUAUUAUUUGACACAAAUCUAUCUAAAUCAAAAUUUUUAUAAUUUUUACUCCAAACAUUUACUGGACUGAUUUAAAUAUUAAAUCACUCCUUUCUAAUCCUCUGCUGUACGUUCAAACCUGAGGCCUUAAAUAGAAACACACAAGUAUCUGAUUGAAGGAACUUCUGCAGAGUCCUGGUUCCAGAACAUGAUGAUAGAAUUAUAGACAAACUUUAACAAAAGCUGCCUGAGAGUUUACAGGUUUUUAUGUUAGAUUUCUUCAGUAAUUUAAUGAGAGUUAUCAGCAAAAAUCAAGGGUUCAUUUGAUGAAUUUCAUUUCCUAAAACAUCCAGAAUUGGAGCUCAUAUCUUUGGCAGCUGUAAAGUUUCUGCUCCUUCAAGGUUCACAACACAAUGAAUGAAUUCCUAAAACACUCUCAAUGCUGGAGAGCGUUUGUGAUGCUGAAGCAGUGACCAGUUUUUCUGUUUCUUCUCUGGAGAUGCACAAUGAGGGACGUCUGCAGCGACUGAGAAAGAGUCUCACCACAUCCUGACAUGAGGAAAAAGACUUUAUUGAAGACUACAAUGAGAAAAAACUAUCAUACAGCAGACGGCUGCAUUCAAGGCUACAGGAGGAGUCCUACGAGGACGAGCCGGUCCACCUGAUGGAGGCCAGUCGCUGUGGUUCAAAGCCAACACCGACUACGUGGACUUCUACUGGACCACACGGAGGCCUUCAAACCGGACCAACAAGUUCAGCGACUCCCCGACUCGUGGGUCUGAGGACGCCGCCGAGCCUCGGUCCAGCCGGCCUCCUGUCUGUGGGUGUUUGAGUGCUGAGAGGUUUGUGGAUGCAUGUGAAUGUUCUGUGUUGAAACAGCAGCUUUGGACUCAGUAACGCCAGGAAAAACCAAGAGCUCCUUUAUUUGUGACUUCCACUAAAAAAACUGUUGAAAAUAAGUUUGCCAGGGUUAGCAACACACCAUGCUAUGACGUUUUUACAAUGAUGGUUCUACUAUGGAACCAGUUUGACAUGUUCAGGCGUUCUUUGUGUGAAAACUCAGAGAUUUCAGGGAUCAGAAGGUGGUUUUCAAAUUUCUUUGUUAACUUUCUACUUCAACUUUAAACUAAAUUUCCUUCACUAAGCCAGCCCUCUGGACUUCCAGUAAGCUGUGUUCCUAUUGGCUGUCCAGGUGGCUGCUUGGUGUUAUCAGGAACACCUGAGCAGCUCAGUGUCUUCCUGCUUUAUGUGGCUGCAGCCAAACAUUUCCUCUGUUUCUCUUCACCACUGAAACGGGUUU